AAAAAAAAAAAAAAAAAUUAGUUUUAAUAUGAAUUUAAAAAAGAAAUUAAGGUUAGAAAAAAAAAUUCUAAUAUUAAAAUAAAUUUAUUUAUACAUUUUUUUUUAUUAUGAAUUAUUUAUUUUAAAAAUAAGUUUGAAUAAGUUUUUUAUUUAUAUAUAUAUUAAGAAUAUAUAUAUAUCUAUUAAACUUUUUGAACUUAGUUUAUUUUAACAUUUUUAUUUUUAUAUUAAAACAAUUAUAUUUAAGUUAAAUAAUUUUAAAUAAACUUUUUUUUUUUUUCUUUUUUGAUAAUAUAUUUUUAAAUAUUAAUAAAUAUUAUGAAAAAGAAAUAGUUUAAAUCAAUAAAUAUCAAGAAAAAUAUGUAAUAAUAAAAUAAGUUCGCUAAUAUUGGAAAAUUCAGAAGGAAAAAGAAUGUUUUCUUUUUUCUAAGUUUAAAAAUAAAAUAUAAUUAUAUAUAAACAGUAAAAUAAAUUUAAGCAUUAUUUUAAUUUUUUGGUACAUUUAAAAUUCUCUAUUUUUUUUUAAUAGACCAUUUUAUUAAAAUUUUUGCUUCAAAUGAGGUGAAAGUUUUAUAUUAAGUAAAAAAAAAUACAUUAAUAAUUAAAUUAAAGUAUUUUUUUUAAUGUAAAUCUGUUAAUUUAUAUACUAUAUAUUUAUAACUUGAUUAUAAAACAAAGCAUCAUAAUAAUUAUAAAAUAUUUUUUAUAUAAAUAAAUUAUAUUAUAAUAUAUUAGGUGUUCUAUGUCUUU
Plasmodium falciparum 3D7 is the source of this 750-nucleotide non-coding RNA. NCBI's taxonomy places the organism in Eukaryota, Apicomplexa, Aconoidasida, Haemosporida, Plasmodiidae. The record is from RefSeq and is a predicted model, not a curated record.